RNAcentral lists this long non-coding RNA (552 nucleotides) under Physcomitrium patens. Its description in RNAcentral is "long non-coding RNA (PPAT_LNC009743)". Lineage: Eukaryota; Viridiplantae; Streptophyta; Bryopsida; Funariales; Funariaceae. The record is from RNAcentral.
GUUUUAAUUCUAUUUAAGAAUAGAAUUGUAAAAAGAGUUCAUAUUGUUUUGUUUGUCUUCUCUUCUUUGUCGAAAGCCCACUUAUUCCAUUUCCUUUUAUCUUGAAGCCAAUUUCUCUUUUAGGCAUGAAAGAAUCAAAGAGUGGGAUCCUCAACAACACAUAGAAUCCAUUCUUUUCCAUUUUUCCAUUUAUCUCACAUUUGGUAUACUUCCACAAUAAACAGAGAAAAAGCCAACCACCACAUCACAAUAUCUAAAAGGCAUCAUCGAAGCUCAAAAUUUCAACCAAAAGCUUCAAAUGUUCCACACAAAGCAGCAGUCGAAAUCCUGACGCAGUCGGUGGGGGAAGCGCAGGAUUCUGUCGGCACCCACUUGAAUAUUCUCACGGGUUCCGGCAUCUUCCAGUGCGAUUUGCGCUGGAGAUCGGCGGCUCUACGUGUAGCAGCUGCUGUUGCAGAUACCAUGCCCAACAUGAUUGGUAAACUGUUCAUGGUGCAGGAUCACCAAGGCUGAGAAUCUAGAGCAUCAGAGUCGCCUACACAAACCACAGCG